CCUGACAGGUCACCUCAUGUACACCAAAUGGGACAUCUCGCUUUCUUCUGAUUUCAACCUAGUUCAGCAUCUGAUCCCACCACUUCACAGCACUAAUGCAUUGGCACAACCCUUAAGAUAGAAAUUAACUACAGGAUUUCACUCAAAAUGUGAUCAAUGGACCUGAAAUUCAGAACAUGGUAUCAACAAAGCAGCAUCACCCAUCUCAUUAAACAAAGCCCACUUUUUGACUCGACCUCUUCAACCACAAAUAGGUGAGUACAUGGCCCCUGAUAUGAAGAGCAACCAUGGGAUUUUGCUGAAAAUGUACUCACUGAAUUUUCCACAUUCAAAUCUUUAUUUUUUUUCCUCUCUCAGGACAUUAUUUCUUAUGUGAGUAUUUAUGAGGUUUGGGCAAUAUUAAAGACAUGGGCUCUGAAAUGCAAAAAUACUCUAAAUCCAACAAAAAAUUUAUUAUACGGAAAGAAUUUAGUGAUAUUCAUAGUCCUGAAUUGGCAGGGGCCUUAAAAACCUAAAGUCCUCAAAUUUUAAAGCAAUUUCUUUGUAAAGGAUUAUAAAGCACAUUUCAGAUUUGAUGCAAGUACGUAAUGUAAAAAAAAAAAAUGGAUCUGUUUAUACAGCAAAAAUGCAACAGUGCUGGUUAUUAAGUUAAUAACAUGAA
This is a long non-coding RNA of Cherax quadricarinatus, 661 nucleotides long. RefSeq lists it as uncharacterized. The record is from RefSeq and is a predicted model, not a curated record. NCBI's taxonomy places the organism in Eukaryota, Metazoa, Arthropoda, Malacostraca, Decapoda, Parastacidae.